UUCUGAAAUGACUGCGACGCAUGCGCGAAAUUGUUCGACGUCAUCGGAAAUCUUGGCGGCAAGUUCGGCAAACGUAAAAUCUGUGAUGUGAAAACUUAUGUAAUAACAAUCACGUAACAAGCAUAAAAAACAUGUCAUCCAGAUGUAUCAUUCUCAAACUUACAGUUAUUCAACUAGCAGUCUGUGUUUACGCUGCACUGAUGACUACGGACGCCAACUUCGAGUUUCGAAAGACAGCAGUCCUUCGGUGCACCUCGGACAAUCCUGGCAGCAAAGUUUACUGGGAAUCGUCCAACGGGACCCGAGUAGUGGCACUCAACCCGCACAAGCCAGCCAGAUAUGAGGAGGGAGCUAACGGGAGUUUGAUCAUCUGGAAGCCAAGUCGUGAGACUGCUGGCCUGUAUUACUGCUGCCAGGACUCUGCUUCUGGGAAGAUUCGGAAGCCAGCGAAUUUCUUUGCCCUGACCCUUGUCGUGAGCAUCCUGGAGAUGAGUGCCUAUGUGAACCAAGGAGAUACUUUUGUCAUGACUUGUCUGGUUUUGGGCCAUCCGAAGCCAACAGUUAACUGGUACAAAGAUGGCACAUUAGUACAGCUCAGUAGCAGAAUUACUGUCGAAGAUACUUUCGUGAAUGGAAUUCCAGCACAGAAUCUGAAAAUCACCAACGUUCACUAUGAUGAAGGAGGAAUAUACACAUGUGAGGCAAGGAGUUCGCGGCACCCAGACAGAGUGAGCACCGGGCGUCAAAGACUGCGCGUUAUUGGUAUGCCUUUACCUGGCCAUUAUUAGGCAUCAUUGUGGAAUUUCUAUUAAUUUUCACAAUCAUUGUCAUUAGUGAAUACAAGAAGAAAGAUGUGGAGAGUGAAAUUCAAGAAGUGGAAGAGAAGCCAAUUCAUCAUCAUCGUAGGAGCAGAAGCCAAUCAGUCCCAAAAUAAAUAUGCCAAAAGCCAUUACUGACAGUUUUGGAGAUGUAUGUCAUGAAAGUAUCAACAGGAAAGAGCAUGAACAAAUGCUAUAAAAACAGCUAAGAAACUGCACAUUCAGCAUGCACGUGGGUGUGCAUGAAUGCGGAUGUGUGUGCAUGUGAUGUAGGCAACAAAACCCUAGUGCCAUUUUGCAAAGAUGUCAUGAACUCAAAAGUUUAUUUUCUUCAUGAUUUCCAAACCAUUUUUACUUUUGUUUUUAUCAAAUUGGAUAUUAAAGACUAAUUUGUUUCUUUGUUACAUGCAAUGUAUUGAAUAUUUUUGUGGUUUUUA
RNAcentral lists this unclassified non-coding RNA (1255 nucleotides) under Pomacea canaliculata. RNAcentral's name for it is "zwei Ig domain protein zig-1-like, transcript variant X2". The record is from RNAcentral. Lineage: Eukaryota; Metazoa; Mollusca; Gastropoda; Architaenioglossa; Ampullariidae.